Molecule: small nucleolar RNA, 109 nt
Filed under: Cephalotus follicularis
Lineage: Eukaryota; Viridiplantae; Streptophyta; Magnoliopsida; Oxalidales; Cephalotaceae
Description: Plant small nucleolar RNA R71
Rfam family: Plant small nucleolar RNA R71
About the family: R71 is a member of the C/D box family of snoRNAs containing the C (UGAUGA) and D (CUGA) box motifs. Multiple nearly identical copies of this snoRNA have been identified in Arabidopsis, and it is thought to function as a 2'-O-ribose methylation guide for 18S ribosomal RNA.
Source: Rfam by way of RNAcentral
AAACCAUGAUGAGGACACUCUAAGAGAAGAUCCUUAAAACGUUCCAUACACCUAGAAAAUGAUUCAUUGGGUUUUUUUUUUGGAACUGGAGAAUGUCGUUCCUAAGUUU